This 807-nucleotide long non-coding RNA is filed under the name Nilaparvata lugens (brown planthopper). Its description in RNAcentral is "uncharacterized LOC120354352". Lineage: Eukaryota; Metazoa; Arthropoda; Insecta; Hemiptera; Delphacidae. The record is from RNAcentral.
AAAUAAUUAGACACUAAAUUAUUUAGUCUCUUAUUUCCAUCGGUAUAAGAGUAUCAGAGCCUAUAAUUUUUUUUCAAAUGUUCAGCGUUUCAAAAUCUUUUCAAAUCACUAACUUUAGAAUUAUUUUUUCCGAAUUCAAUCCUAAAUCCAAACACCUAGUACAAUAUUUUUUUUUGCCGUACCUAUAAAUUCCACUAAAUGGAACCGAACUUAGCACUUAGAACAAAAAUGAUUCACAUACAUAAUCUCUUAUUUAAUAGAGUUUUUUGGGAAAUUGCAAAAAAUCAAAGGUUACAUUAUGAAUUCAUCAGACAUACUUGAUCCCUUUGAGAAUACUUUGAUUUUAUUCUUCAACUGAAGUAUUUUUUUCAUUGUUCAAAGGAGACGUAUGUCGCGUCAUGCGCCGAUAAAGCUUCGGAAGGGCGCACAAUCAUGAGUAUCAUGGGGAAGCUGGUGACCCUUCCUCACCAUCCAAAGCAAGGACGACCAUAAGAGAGAGAAAAACCUUUCAAGGACCUUCUGAUAACUGAAGUUAUGAUUGCAGCUGCUACAAACCGGUGCUGGCCGAAGGCAGAAUUGAAGCAGGUCUAGUUGAAAGCGGCUACGUGGCUUGCACAAGCCCAAUCCAAGUUGGACAAAAUGAAUCAGCCAUCAACACCAGCUACAAUAACAAUAUUCGACAUCGAUUGUGAAGAUGAACCUCUCGAAUAGAUAAGAAUAUAAUAGUAGUGACAGAAAAGAUCAUAAAACGUGUCUACAUGUUCAAUUUACUGAUAUCAUAAACAAUAAAUUAGUAAUUGAUUAUAA